UACGGAGGGCGCAAGCGUUGUUCGGAUUCACUGGGCAUAAAGAGCAUGUAGGCGGUCUACUCAGUCGGAUGUGAAAGCCCUCGGCCCAACCGGGGAACUGCAUUCGAUACUGGUAGACUAGAGGACGGCAGGGGUAAGUGGAACUCCAGGUGGAACGGUGAAAUGUGUAGAUAUCUGGAGGAACACCGGUGGCGAAAGCG
RNAcentral lists this ribosomal RNA (200 nucleotides) under uncultured bacterium. RNAcentral's name for it is "partial 16S ribosomal RNA". It matches the Rfam family "Bacterial small subunit ribosomal RNA", at positions 524 to 723 of the family's 1533-position model. The record is from RNAcentral.